UACGGGGGGGGCAAGCGUUGUUCGGAAUUACUGGGCGUAAAGCGUACGUAGGCGGUUAGGUAAGUCUGCUAUUAAAGACCGGGGCUCAACUUCGGGAAUGUAGUGGAAACUGCCAAGCUAGAGGACAAUAGAGGAAGUCGGAAUUCUCAGUGUAGCGGUGAAAUGCGUAGAUAUUGGGAAGAACACCAGUGGCGAAAGCGGACUUCUGGGUUGUUACUGACGCUGAGGUACGAAAGCGUGGGGAGCAAACGGG
RNAcentral lists this ribosomal RNA (253 nucleotides) under uncultured bacterium. Its description in RNAcentral is "partial 16S ribosomal RNA". It matches the Rfam family "Bacterial small subunit ribosomal RNA", at positions 524 to 776 of the family's 1533-position model. The record is from RNAcentral.